This 297-nucleotide long non-coding RNA is filed under the name Ananas comosus (pineapple). Its description in RNAcentral is "long non-coding RNA (ACOM_LNC026918)". The record is from RNAcentral. Lineage: Eukaryota; Viridiplantae; Streptophyta; Magnoliopsida; Poales; Bromeliaceae.
AACUAACUUACAGCGCAUAUCGUUUGGUUCGGAAAUAAGCAAAAAAUUGCUAUUCUAGAAAUAAGUAUAAAUUAAGGUAUAAGUGGGGAUUAGAUUAAUUUUGCGUUUGGAUGAAAAUUGAGUUGUUCCUGAGAAUAAAAAAAAUAGCGUUUAGUUAGAUAAGAUAGAAUAAGAAUUAAAAUGGAUAGUUAUAAAUAAAAAAUAAUGAUAUUAUUCCAUUCUUUAUAUUAGAAUUAGAAUUUUUAUAUUUUAUAUUUAUAUUUUAUAAUUUAAAAUAUAAACUUUUAAAUUUUAAAA